UGACGUCAUAGCUCGCAGCGGCUUCCUGGGAGUUUCCUCCUCCUGUGCUUCGCUGGGCGACGUCUCCCGAGCAGUUUAGCUGGAAAACGUUCUGAGAGGCGUGGCCGGCGCGGGACAAUGGUUUGGGGCUGGUGUCUGGGGUCCUAUUUUAUCACCCCUUAAUUUGCCCCUUACUGACCACGUCGGGCGCACCUCGGCCUCAAAGCAGGCCUGGCUCAAACUUCUGCCUCAGCCUCCCAGAGUGCUGGGAUUUCAGACGUGGGACAACAGCCAAGCUCGAGGGACUCUUGAACACUUGUCUAACAUAUGUGCAUUCACCAGUGAAGUUGUCCUGGCCAAAACACCUGGCACCAGCGUCUACCUGGGCAUCAACCUUCAUCCCUUCGACUCCCCUAGGCUCCAGUACAGCGCCUUCUACCAGCAGGAAGUAGUUAAAGAGAGAAAUCUUCGCCCCUUUUCAUAAUAAUAAUCAUAAGACGGGAUAUGAAAGGGUUUUGGCCCAGACAGGACACUGUAGCCAGGAAAGCCUCAACCGGAAGCAGGAAGCCCCUAUCUCCCCCGCCCCUAGGAAGUUACCUGUGACGCCAUCUUCCCGCCCCUGGAAAUUUACAUAUGGCACCAAACCUAGGAACAAUGGGCUACCUGUACAUCUCUAAUGCCCGCCUUAGGUUCCACCCCAAACCGAGGCUAUUUAGGUGAAUUCAAGCAAAGAUUGAUUAACAGAGAUAAAGAAGGCAUAAAGGUACAUCAUACUGAAGAAAAAAAAAGAAGGCCAUUAUAACCUCAUAAAGGGGACAAUCCAAGAGGAAGAGAUAAUAAUCAUAAAUAUAUAUACAACAUGCCAGUGCACCCAGCUAUAUAAAACAAAUACUAAUAAACAUGAAAAAUCAAAUAAGCCCUAAGGUAAUCAUAUUGGGAGAUCUCAAUAUCCCACUGUCACAUAAAGACAGAUCAACAACACAAAAAAUUAGUAAUGAAAUACUAGAACCAAACCAAACUUUUGAGCAAAUGGGCUCAGUAGUUGUCUGUAGAGUGUUCCACCCCACAACAUCAGAAUAUAUAUUCUCAGCUGCACACAGGAUGUUCUCCAAAAUACACCAUAUACUAGCCCACAGAACAUGUUUAAGUAAAUGCAAAGGAAUUCAAGUUAUUCCAUUCAUACUAUGAGACCACAGUGCAAUGAAAUUGGAAAUCCUUGGCAAAAGAAGCCACGAGAACUUCAAAAACACAUAGAAAUUAAAUAAAACCCCACUGAAAAACCAACUGGUCACAGAUGAAAGAAGAAAUUAGACAAUUUUUACAAUUGAAUAAUAACAACAAUACAACAAGUCAGAACUUAUGAGACACAAUGAAAGCAGUCUUAAGAAGAAAAUUUAUAGCAAUAAAUGCCCAUAUCAGGAAAACAGGGCAAGUACAUAUAAACAACUCAAUGGCGAACCUCAAACUUCUAGAAAAAGAAGAGCAGGCUAAGCCAAAAGCUCAUACAAGGGAGGAAAUUAUAUGGAUCAGAGCAGAAAGUAACAUACUGGAGACUAAAAAACAAUACAAAGAAUUAAUCAAUUGAAGAGUUGGUUCUUUGAAAGAUUAAAUAAAAUUGACAAACCUUUAGCCAGUCUUAUCAAAAAAUAAGAAAAUUCUCAAAUACAUGCAUUUAGGAAUGAAUAGGGUGAAAUCACAACAAAUCCUGCAGAAAUUCAGAAGAUCAUGUAUACCUACUUUGAGAACUUAUAGUCAAAAAGAUGGAAAAUACAGAAGAGAUGGGCAGAUUCCUGGAUACAUAUGAAUUACCAAAACUGAAUAAAGAAGAUAUCAAAAUCCUUAAUAAUCCAAUAUUAAUCAAGGAAAUUGAAGAUGUAAUUAAAAACCUGUCAACAGGGGCUGGGGAUUUAGCUCAGCGGCAUAAGCGCCUGCCGUGCAAGCAGGCGGUCGUGAGUUCGAUCCCCGGUACCGAUAAAAAGGAAAAAGACAAAAAAAAAAAAAAAAAAAACUGUCAACAAAGAAAAACUCAGGGCCUGACAGAUUCACUGCUGAAUUCUACAAGAAAUUUAGAGACCUAUCACCACUACUUCUCAAACUCUUUACUGAAAUUGAAGGGGAAGCAAUACUCUCAAAUACAUUUGUGGAAGCAAGUGUUACCCUGAAACCAGAGAAGUAUCCAACAACAAAAAAAAAGAAAGAAAACUACAGCCAAAUAUCCCUAGUGAGCACAGAUGCCAAACUCCUCAACAAGAUACUGGCAAACAAAUGCAGCAAAUCAUCAAGAAGACUAUAUACCAUGACCACAUAGGAUUCAUCCCAGGGAUGCAAGAAUGGCUCAACAUAUGUAAAUCAAUAAAUGUAAUACACCAGAUUAACAGAGCCAAGGACAAAAACCAUACGAUCAUCUCGACAGAUGCAGAAAAAGCAUUUGACAAAGUCCAACACCUACUUAUGAUUUUUAAAAGUCCUACAGAAAUUUGGAACAGAUGGUCUUUAUUUCAAUUUGAUAAAAGUUACCUCUUUCUGUUAGAAAGCAGGGAUUUAGCAGUGGUGCAGCACCUGCCUGGCAAAUGUGAGGUCCUGAGUUCAGUUCCUGGUACCCAAAAAGAAAAACAGUUAUCUAUGAAAAUCCCACAAUCAACAUCAUACUACAUGGACAAAACCCAGAAGUUUUCAGUCUAAAAUCAGGAACAAGGGCCAAGGAUAUAGCUCAAUGGCAUAGCGCCUGCCUGGCAAAUGCGAGGUGCCAAGUUCGAUUCUUGGUAUAAAAAUAAAUAAAUAAAAUCAGGAACAAGACAAAGAUAUCCACGGUCACUGCUCUUCUUCAAUAUAGUUCUGGAGCAAUUAGAUUUAGAUAAGAGAAAUAAAAGGAAUAAGGAUAAGAAAGGAAGAAGUUAAAUUAACAUUAUUUGUGGUUGACAUGAUAUUCUACAAAGAUCCUAAAAACUCCACCCAAAGACUUUUAGAUUUAAUAAGCAAAUUCAGUCACAUAGCUAUAUACAAAGUCAACAUUCAAAAAUCAAUAGGAUUCCUGUACACAAAUAACAAACUCACUGAGACAGAAAUCAGGGAAACAAGGGGUUGGAGACAUAGCUCAGUGGCACAAGCACUUGCCUGGUAAGCACAAGGUCCUGAGUUCAAUUCCCAAUACUCACUCCCCCAAAAUAAAUAAAAUUUAAAAACAGAAAUUAGGGAAAUAACACUUCAUAAUAGCACCCCCCCCAAAGUGAAAUAUCUAGGAAUCAAUCAACAGAGGAAGUAAAAGACUUCAAUACUGAAAACUACAGUACUCUAAAAAAGGAGAUUGAAGAGGAAUCAGAAAAUGGAAGAAUAUUUCUUGUUCUUGGGUAGGAAGAAUCAAUAUAGUGAAAAUGGCCAUACUUCCAAAAUGGUUGUACAAUUUAAGGCAAUCCUGAUCAAAAUAUCAAUAGCAUAGCACACCUAAUUAGAGAAAACAAUCCCACAAUUCAUUUGUAAUGAGAAGAAACCUAAAAGAGCAAAAGUAAUUCUGGAUGACAAAGAAAAAGCAGGGGCAUUACAACCCCUGAUGAGAUUAUACUACAAAGCUACUGUGAUAAAAACAGCAUGGUACUGGAGAGGAGGACAGAUCUGAGGAUCAACAGGACAGAUUAGAAGAUGCAGAAACAACUUGAAACAUACUUAGCCAUCUUGGCUUUGACAAACAUGUUCACUGGAAGAAAGACAAUGUCUUUAAUAAAUGGUGCUGGGAAAACUGGCUUUUUACAUGUUGAAGAUUAAAACUAGACACAUAUAUUUUACCAUGCACUAACCUAAAAUCAAAAUGGAACAAAGAUCUAAAUAUUACAAUAGAAACACUAAAUCUGCUGGAAGAUAGAAGAGGCAGAACUUUUGAAGGCACUGGUCUAGACAAAGACUUUAAAACCCCAGUUGCACAGGAACUAUCACAGAGAAUCAACAACUGGGAUAUCCUCUUAUUAAAAAGCUUUUGCACAGCAAAAGAAACUACUAACAGAGUGAAGAGACAACCUACAGUGUGGGGGAAAAUAUUUCUCUAGCUGCUGCUCAAACAAAAGACUAGUAGCCAGAAUUUAAAAAAAAAAAAAAUCCACCCCCCGAAUUGGAAGACCCAGUCCAAAAUGGGUAUGUGAAAUAAACAGACAUUUCUCAGAUGAAGACUAGAAAUGCCAAAUGAAUAUAUGAAAAAAUGUUCAGCAUCAUUGGUCACUUGAGAAAUGCAAAUUAAAACCACACAGAGAUUCUGUCUCACUCCAGAAAGAAUGGCUAUCAUCAAGAAAUCAACCAAUAACAAAUGCUGGAGGAGUUGUGGGGGGAAAAGAACCUUUCUCCACUGUGGGCUGUUGGCAGGGAGUGUAGACUGGUGUGACCACGUGGAAAUCAGUGUGGGGGUUCCUCACAAAACUCGUACUGGAGGCCCAUUUGACCCAGCUAUUCCCCUUCUUGGUAUCUUCAUGAAAGAAUUAAAAGCAUCAAACCACAGCGAUAUAUGUGUACCUAUAUGUAAAGUACCCCAAUUUGUAAUAUCUAAAUCUCAUCAACUAGUGCCAUCAACUUGUGAUAAAGAAGAUGUGGCUUUUUAUACAAUGGAGUACUACUCUUUCAUAAAGGAUAAGCUUGAGACAUUUUAUCUAAAUGAAUGUACUUGAGAUCAUAAUUUUAAGAGAAAUAAAUUGGACCCACACGUUUAAA
Molecule: long non-coding RNA, 4668 nt
Organism: Cavia porcellus (domestic guinea pig)
Lineage: Eukaryota; Metazoa; Chordata; Mammalia; Rodentia; Caviidae
Exons: 2
Source: RefSeq, a predicted model, not a curated record